AACAACUUCCUUAAAAAAACAAAAAGGGGUGAGGAAUUGAGAAAUAGCAGAAGACGGCAGGAUGAGCCCAAGCCCCAAAGGCCUUACAGUGCUGGUUCUGAAAUAUGCCUGGGAAUGAAUACAAAGUUGUGUGAAGUUGAUUUCCACCACAUGCACACACCGACAGUGUUUUUCAGUCAAUCUUAUGUCAUUUGUAAGAUUUUCCAGACCUAGGGGUUUAGGCGCCGGCCUUCAAUCUAGAUUGCUAUUGUCUGUUCUCUUCAGAGGGGUAUUGGUCUCAUUUAUUUGGUUCACCACCAUCUACAGUGCCAAGUUUUCACGGUUUCAAUGCUCCAGUGCAGACUGUUAUUUCAAAGCUGUUUAGCAUAGACCUGAUAAAUCAGCCAUGAAAUGACAGAUCCACACUCCCCUGGCUCCCUACUGUGGCACCAAACAAAUAUAAGGGAUUGAGAUUUGUAGAUCAUCACCCCUUGCUUACAAAAUGCUCUUGCACAUACAGCUGGUCUGACUGGCAGGAUAUAGUGAGAUAACGAGAUAUGAAGAUUAAAUAUGUUUGGUGCCAUUAUCACUCUUGGUUUGUCUUUUCAGCAAUCCUUAAAAAAUCUCCCCAGGCUGCAACGUGACAGAGAGGGUGUGCUCCAGACGCUACCAAUCUUUUCAGACCUGUUGUGUGAUUUUGGAGUCCUAAGGAACCGGGAAGGCAAAUUUACGAUUUAGACUAAUUUAACCGAUCAAAGCCGACACACUCAAAGACAUACGUCUGACAUAUGCACAGCCAAGCAUUUGCAUUUCAAGAAAAGUAACCAGGUGUCAUUUACCGAAUGGCUUUUACAUUCUGCUGGGAGAACGUCCCAAAAUAAACACCGCCUAUAAAAUAUCCAGGAACCUCCUGUUCAAAAUGAGGCAGUGCCUACGAGUCUGAUUCUUUAAAGGAUCCUUAAAGGGAUUUUGUUUUCUACCCAUCGUGCAACCCAAAUGACUGUCUGGAUUUUCUUGGCAGGCUAGAACAACGCUGGAAAACUCAGUGAGUAGGACUUUGAAGAUGGGGAGAAUGGUGGCCUGUCAGAUAUGAAAAGUGGAGGAGCAGGCCCUCAGCUCCAACCACUGACUCAUCUCGCAAAGUGGAGCCCAUGAUUGGCAAUGACGAAGAAUAUGUUUAGAAGAACAGCAGCGAGCCUUGCUUACUGUAGUGUUCCUCAGGUAAUCAGCUAAGUUUCCUCGCCUCAGAGCUGAAUGAAGAAUGGGAUUUCAGUUGACACUGAACCCGAGGAACAAUACUCAGAACCUAGAAAAAGCAGUUUCUUUUGCAAUUGAGAGGGAGCUAGAGGUGAGUGUCGGCUAUCGGUAUUCUUCUAAGUUCUACGAUCUGCGAGUCGGCCCCGGUCCUGCCUUCUUGACUCUCUUGGCCAGAUUCAUUAUCGCUGACGCUGAGCCCGGCACCUGCAAUACACGAGGGAGGUUGUCUCCAACCAUGGAAACAUUGUAGGAAGGAAACAAAGGACCAUUGCUUCGAAGAUUUCAUUACCCUCAAAUGAAGGCUUGGGACUCUUCUCCAAGCAAGAACCAAGUCGACGACAGUGUGUUCCAUCUUUAUGGUGAAGGCAAGCUGCUCAUUUUUUAAUAGGUAGCAUUGGAGGUCACUUCAAACAGAAGUGCAAUUGGCCAAAUCCAGACUUCUGGAAUGGUCCCCUCCAAGACCAUCCUCUGACUGUAGCCCUCGGCGUUUCCCUGGAUCGUAAGUAGCUGGGAGGUGGGUAUGAUGCCACUGGGGCCUUGUCCUACGUCUGGCUCCACAGCUCCACAGGCUCCCAGUGUGCUCAGGCCUCACCACUCCUAUCCCAGUUACUGCUGCCGGAACAGGAAGUCAGAGGGCCAAGGAGGAGAAUCCCCCUGAGGUAGUGAGCCCAUUGUUGGGAAGGGAUUGUCUCUAUUUGUUGCCAAAUUGUACUUUCCAAGCACUUACUACAGUGCUCU
Long non-coding RNA from Ornithorhynchus anatinus (platypus), 1974 nucleotides. RefSeq lists it as uncharacterized. The record is from RefSeq and is a predicted model, not a curated record. Lineage: Eukaryota; Metazoa; Chordata; Mammalia; Monotremata; Ornithorhynchidae. The transcript has 6 exons.